Molecule: long non-coding RNA, 352 nt
Organism: Lagopus leucura (white-tailed ptarmigan)
Lineage: Eukaryota; Metazoa; Chordata; Aves; Galliformes; Phasianidae
Exons: 2
Source: RefSeq, a predicted model, not a curated record
GCUCCGCGCUGCUCCGCGCUGCUCCGCGAGCCGGGAAUGCGCCGGCGAUGAGGAAACAACUGCAGACACUUCUGGCAUAGAGGCAUCUUGGCGGCAGCGCUGCUGUUGGCCUCCUGCUAGUAAUCAGUGAGGGGGUACCGCAGGAAGAUGAAGAUGAGGAUGAUACAGAAGGUGGCAAGGGCUGAGCUGGUGAUGUUAAAAAGCCGGGCUGUCUUGGCAUCUUCCACUGCACCAUUUAAGUCAUUGAGGAGUUUCUUAUCCCGGACCUGAGGCAGAAAAACAAAAUUAACUGGGAGAUGUGCUGUGAUACUAUGUAAUAAAAUGAUGUAAUAAAAGUAAUAAUGCAUCCCCA